AUGGCGGCGUCGUCGUCGACGGCGUCCUCGUACCGGUCGCGGUUCGGUGACACGACGGAGACGAAGGUGUUCGUGGGCGGGCUGGCGUGGGAGACCCCGUCGGAGGGCCUCCGGCAGCACUUCGAGCAGUACGGCGACAUCCUGGAGGCCGUCGUCAUCACGGACCGCCUCACCGGCCGCUCCAAGGGCUACGGAUUCGUGACGUUCCGGGAGGCGGAGGCGGCGCGGCGGGCGGUGCAGGACCCGAACCCGAUGAUCACCGGGCGGCGCGCCAACUGCAACAUUGCCUCGCUGGGCCCGCCGCGGCCCGCGCAUCCUCGAGGGAGGCCGUCGGCCGUGCCCUACUGGCAGCAGGGCCCGCCGGCGCCGGUGCCGCCGCAGGGCCCGCAGUACUACAUCCCCAGCCCGAGGGCUCCUCCUCCUCCGCAGCAGCAGAUGGGCCUGAUGCCCAGCCCUGGCCCGGCGAUGUACCACCAGCCGCCCCCUUCGCAGCCAUGGUACUGGGGCCCACCCGACUAUCAAUACCCACAGGCCAUGAUGACCCCUCAAAUGGUGCAGAACUACUAUGCUCAGCUGUAUGCGGCUGGGCUGGCGUCGCCGACAGGGCCACCGCCCUACCAUCAGUACGUGGGGUACAUGCAGAUGCAGGCCCCGACGCCGAGGGCAGCGGUGCUCUCGCCGGUGGCGCAGCAGAUCGCGGCGGGGCAGCCGUAUGCGCCGCACCCGGCGGCGGCGCAGAUGCAGGGCUUCUCCAUGCAGGUGCCUUCUCUCCCGCACAACUUCGCGCUGCAGCUGCCCUCCCAUGCAGUGUCGAUGCUGCCUCCCAACGCAACCGAUAUGCAGCCGGCUGGUGGCCAGGCGUCCUCCUCUGCAGCCGCGGCGACGAACGCGAACAACACUCACCAGGGUGCCUGA
RNAcentral lists this ribosomal RNA (915 nucleotides) under Triticum aestivum (bread wheat). Its description in RNAcentral is "partial small subunit ribosomal RNA". The record is from RNAcentral. Lineage: Eukaryota; Viridiplantae; Streptophyta; Magnoliopsida; Poales; Poaceae.